AGCAGCCGCGGUAAUUCCAGCUCCAAUAGCGUAUAUUAAAGUUGUUGCAGUUAAAAAGCUCGUAGUUGAAUUUCGGGAUCAAUAUGUUGGUCGUGCCUUGGUACGUACUGGCAUUAUCGAUUCCUACCUUCUGAAGAACCUCGAUGUCAUUAAUUUGGUGUCUUGGGGAAUCAGGACUGUUACUUUGAAAAAUUAGAGUGUUUAAGGCAGGCUCGCGCUUGAAUACAUUAGCAUGGAAUAAUGAAAUAGGACGUUUGAUUCUAUUUUGUUGGUUUCUAGGAUCGACGUAAUGAUUAAUAGGGAUAGUUGGGGGCAUUAGUAUUCAAUUGUCAGAGGUGAAAUUCUUGGAUUUAUUGAAGACUAACUACUGCGAAAGCAUUUGCCAAGGAUGUUUUCAUUAAUCAAGAACGAAAGUUAGGGGAUCGAAGACGAUCAGAUACCGUCGUAGUCUUAACCAUAAACUAUGCCGACUAGGGAUCGGAUGAUGUUAAUUUUUAAUGACUCAUUCGGCUACCG
This 516-nucleotide unclassified non-coding RNA is filed under the name uncultured Glomus. Its description in RNAcentral is "SSU rRNA". It matches the Rfam family "Eukaryotic small subunit ribosomal RNA", at positions 569 to 1089 of the family's 1831-position model. Lineage: Eukaryota; Fungi; Glomeromycota; Glomeromycetes; Glomerales; Glomeraceae. The record is from RNAcentral.